RNAcentral lists this ribosomal RNA (484 nucleotides) under uncultured bacterium. RNAcentral's name for it is "partial 16S ribosomal RNA". It matches the Rfam family "Bacterial small subunit ribosomal RNA", at positions 30 to 507 of the family's 1533-position model. The record is from RNAcentral.
AUUGAACGCUGGCGGCAGGCCUAACACAUGCAAGUCGAGCGGAUGAAGGGAGCUUGCUCCUGGAUUCAGCGGCGGACGGGUGAGUAAUGCCUAGGAAUCUGCCUGGUAGUGGGGGAUAACGUCCGGAAACGGGCGCUAAUACCGCAUACGUCCUGAGGGAGAAAGUGGGGGAUCUUCGGACCUCACGCUAUCAGAUGAGCCUAGGUCGGAUUAGCUAGUUGGUGGGGUAAAGGCCUACCAAGGCGACGAUCCGUAACUGGUCUGAGAGGAUGAUCAGUCACACUGGAACUGAGACACGGUCCAGACUCCUACGGGAGGCAGCAGUGGGGAAUAUUGGACAGAGGGCGAAAGCCUGAUCCAGCCAUGCCGCGUGUGUGAAGAAGGUCUUCGGAUUGUAAAGCACUUUAAGUUGGGAGGAAGGGCAGUAAGUUAAUACCUUGCUGUUUUGACGGUACCAACAGAAUAAGCACCGGCUAACUUCGUG